Molecule: long non-coding RNA, 464 nt
Filed under: Musa acuminata (dwarf banana)
Lineage: Eukaryota; Viridiplantae; Streptophyta; Magnoliopsida; Zingiberales; Musaceae
Description: long non-coding RNA (MACU_LNC009894)
Source: RNAcentral
CAACUCAUAGUAUUUUAAAUCAUGAUUUACAUCAUAUGUAAUACAUCACAUCAUAAUUAGAAAGCACAAGUAUUGCAUAUAUCAUUGCAAAUCAUAAAUGUUUCAUAUCAUGAUGGUAUCAAUUUGUCAAAUUAUAUCCUAUCAUGCAUGAUCAAAACUUCUCCCCAUUUGUAUUUUAUGCAUAAUUUCACUUCAUCACAUUAGGAGUAUCAAGAGGAAUUAAUUGGGUGAUGAGAUAAAUAUUUCACGAAUACAUGGAAUUGUAUAAAAAAUAAUAUCAUAAGUGUUUCAUACAUUCAUAUCAUCACAUGAAGGAAUAUAAACAAAAAUUAGUGAUGAGAUCUUACUUCAUGAAUACAAUAAAAUUCAUAUAGCAUAUCAUGGUUUAUUAGAAUUAGUCUUCCUUUUCGUGAAUAGCAAAAAGAAUAGUAGGAGAGCAAGAUCUCAAUUCAUGCAUAUCAAAU